UACGUAGGGGGCAAGCGUUGUCCGGAUUUAUUGGGCGUAAAGAGCGUGUAGGCGGCCAUACAGGUCCGUUGUGAAAACUCGAGGCUUAACCUCGAGACGUCGAUGGAAACCGUAUGGCUAGAGUCCGGAAGAGGAGAGUGGAAUUCCUGGUGUAGCGGUGAAAUGCGCAGAUAUCAGGAAGAACACCCGUGGCGAGGGCGGCUCUCUGGGACGGUACUGACGCUGAGACGCGAAAGCGUGGGGAGCGAACAGG
This 253-nucleotide ribosomal RNA is filed under the name uncultured bacterium. RNAcentral's name for it is "partial 16S ribosomal RNA". It matches the Rfam family "Bacterial small subunit ribosomal RNA", at positions 524 to 776 of the family's 1533-position model. The record is from RNAcentral.